CAGAAGAGAUACCAUUUGCCAUAGCGCCUGCGUAGUAAGCGUAUUUUACCCCGUGAACGCGGCGGAAAUUACUAUCG
RNAcentral lists this transfer RNA (77 nucleotides) under Shewanella piezotolerans WP3. Its description in RNAcentral is "tRNA-Arg". Lineage: Bacteria; Pseudomonadati; Pseudomonadota; Gammaproteobacteria; Alteromonadales; Shewanellaceae. The record is from RNAcentral.